AGUGAACGCUGGCGGUAGGCCUAACACAUGCAAGUCGAACGGCAGCACAGUAAGAGCUUGCUCUUACGGGUGGCGAGUGGCGGACGGGUGAGGAAUACAUCGGAAUCUACUUUUUCGUGGGGGAUAACGUAGGGAAACUUACGCUAAUACCGCAUACGACCUACGGGUGAAAGCAGGGGAUCUUCGGACCUUGCGCGAUUGAAUGAGCCGAUGUCGGAUUAGCUAGUUGGCGGGGUAAAGGCCCACCAAGGCAACGAUGCGUAGCUGGUCUGAGAGGGUGAUCGGCCACACUGGAACUGAGACACGGUCCAGACUCCUACGGGAGGCAGCAGUAGGGAAUCUUCCGCAAUGGGCGAAAGCCUGACGGAGCAACGCCGCGUGAGUGAUGAAGGUCUUCGGAUCGUAAAACUCUGUUAUUAGGGAAGAACAAAUGUGUAAGUAACUAUGCACGUCUUGACGGUACCUAAUCAGAAAGCCACGGCUAACUACGUG
Molecule: ribosomal RNA, 492 nt
Filed under: uncultured bacterium
Lineage: Bacteria
Description: partial 16S ribosomal RNA
Rfam family: Bacterial small subunit ribosomal RNA
Source: RNAcentral